Molecule: ribosomal RNA, 618 nt
Filed under: uncultured bacterium
Lineage: Bacteria
Description: bacterial SSU rRNA
Rfam family: Bacterial small subunit ribosomal RNA
Source: RNAcentral
GAGUGGCGGACGGGUGAGUAUCGCGUAGGGAUCUAUCCAUGGGUGGGGGAUAACAUCGGGAAACUGGUGCUAAUACCGCAUGAUACCUGAGGGUCAAAGGCGCAAGUCACCUGUGGAGGAGCCUGCGUUCGAUUAGCUUGUUGGUGGGGUAAAGGCCUACCAAGGCGAUGAUCGAUAGCUGGUCUGAGAGGAUGAUCAGCCACACUGGGACUGAGACACGGCCCAGACUCCUACGGGAGGCAGCAGUGGGGAAUAUUGGACAAUGGGCGAAAGCCUGAUCCAGCAAUGCCGCGUGUGUGAAGAAGGUCUUCGGAUUGUAAAGCACUUUCGACGGGGACGAUGAUGACGGUACCCGUAGAAGAAGCCCCGGCUAACUUCGUGCCAGCAGCCGCGGUAAUACGAAGGGGGCUAGCGUUGCUCGGAAUGACUGGGCGUAAAGGGCGCGUAGGCGGUUUACACAGUCAGAUGCGAAAUUCCAGGGCUUAACCUUGGGGCUGCAUUUGAUACGUGUAGACUAGAGUGUGAGAGAGGGUUGUGGAAUUCCCAGUGUAGAGGUGAAAUUCGUAGAUAUUGGGAAGAACACCGGUGGCGAAGGCGGCAACCUGGCUCAUUACUGAC